This 1559-nucleotide long non-coding RNA is filed under the name Ananas comosus (pineapple). RNAcentral describes it as "long non-coding RNA (ACOM_LNC008683)". Lineage: Eukaryota; Viridiplantae; Streptophyta; Magnoliopsida; Poales; Bromeliaceae. The record is from RNAcentral.
AAAAUAAAACAUCUACCUGCAGUAGGGUACCUCUAGCUCGGCACGUCGGGUAGUGCUCUAACUCGUGACGCCCUUGCCUCGAUCCUGAUCUGCGAUAGCAGCAGCCGACGACAAUGGCUCUGCAAAAAUAAUGUGUAACAACAGGGCGUGAGAACUACUAUAAAAAUAGGUAGUCCUUAGUGGGUGCCGCCCUAAACAACAUCGGUCCACCCACUAAGUCUACAGAAGGGAGCCAGGAUAGUAGUAAAUACAGGAAUAAAAUCUACCGCUAUGAAUCACUACACUAUCAUGUUCUACACUAACCAACUGUAGAAAAUGUCAAAUCUGACCCAAUCCAAUUGGGACUGUAAGCAUACCCGUCCCUGGGACUGAACACACCCGUCCCUGCCCAGUUGUGACUAUCCAGCUACCUCCACACUACUAGUCCGUGGAGAGCAAGUCCAACCGGCAUGAGCGACACCAACGCGAAAGCACAGCGCCCGUCUCCGGAGUGAUACUCGUGGGAGCUACCCAACCGAGUAUGUAGCGUAUAUCUGUCGAGCUCAAUCAGGCUCUCAAAAGCCAAAGUCCAGUAACCGACUCAAACUGGUCUAACAACCAACAGGUAACGUGCCCUCGGCACAAUCCGACGCCAAAAAGGCGAUACGGGUCCACCGUCAACCCCGACGGCACCCAACAAUCCGGAACAGCCUGAACGCUACUGUAAAAAUAUACUCGGCAUCCCGGCACGAGCGUAACUGAAAGCUAAAGUACCUGGAAUACUCACUAUGAGGAUACUGCUACAGUAUGAAANUGAGUAUUCCAGGUACUUUAGCUUUCAGUUACGCUCGUGCCGGGAUGCCGAGUAUAUUUUUACAGUAGCGUUCAGGCUGUUCCGGAUUGUUGGGUGCCGUCGGGGUUGACGGUGGACCCGUAUCGCCUUUUUGGCGUCGGAUUGUGCCGAGGGCACGUUACCUGUUGGUUGUUAGACCAGUUUGAGUCGGUUACUGGACUUUGGCUUUUGAGAGCCUGAUUGAGCUCGACAGAUAUACGCUACAUACUCGGUUGGGUAGCUCCCACGAGUAUCACUCCGGAGACGGGCGCUGUGCUUUCGCGUUGGUGUCGCUCAUGCCGGUUGGACUUGCUCUCCACGGACUAGUAGUGUGGAGGUAGCUGGAUAGUCACAACUGGGCAGGGACGGGUGUGUUCAGUCCCAGGGACGGGUAUGCUUACAGUCCCAAUUGGAUUGGGUCAGAUUUGACAUUUUCUACAGUUGGUUAGUGUAGAACAUGAUAGUGUAGUGAUUCAUAGCGGUAGAUUUUAUUCCUGUAUUUACUACUAUCCUGGCUCCCUUCUGUAGACUUAGUGGGUGGACCGAUGUUGUUUAGGGCGGCACCCACUAAGGACUACCUAUUUUUAUAGUAGUUCUCACGCCCUGUUGUUACACAUUAUUUUUGCAGAGCCAUUGUCGUCGGCUGCUGCUAUCGCAGAUCAGGAUCGAGGCAAGGGCGUCACGAGUUAGAGCACUACCCGACGUGCCGAGCUAGAGGUACCCUACUGCAGGUAGAUGUUUUAUUUUG